RNAcentral lists this ribosomal RNA (253 nucleotides) under uncultured bacterium. RNAcentral's name for it is "partial 16S ribosomal RNA". It matches the Rfam family "Bacterial small subunit ribosomal RNA", at positions 524 to 776 of the family's 1533-position model. The record is from RNAcentral.
GACGAACCCUGCGAACGUUGUUCGGAUUCACUGGGCUUAAAGGGCGCGUAGGCGGGUUUUCAAGUCCGGGGUGGAAUCCUCUCGCUUAACGAGAGAACUGCCCUGGAUACUGAGGACCUCGAGGGAGGUAGGGGCAUGUGGAACUUCCGGUGGAGCGGUGAAAUGCGUAGAUAUCGGAAGGAACGCCGGUGGCGAAAGCGACGUGCUGGACCUUUUCUGACGCUGAGGCGCGAAAGCCAGGGGAGCAAACGGG